AUUGAACGCUGGCGGCAUGCUUUACACAUGCAAGUCGAACGGCAGCGCGGGCUUCGGCCUGGCGGCGAGUGGCGAACGGGUGAGUAAUACAUCGGAACGUGCCCAGUAGUGGGGAUAGCUCGGCGAAAGCCGGAUUAAUACCGCAUACGACCUGAGGGUGGAAGCGGGGGAUCUUCGGACCUCGCGCUAUUGGAGCGGCCGAUGGCAGAUUAGCUAGUUGGUGGGGUAAAGGCCUACCAAGGCGACGAUCUGUAGCUGGUCUGAGAGGACGACCAGCCACACUGGGACUGAGACACGGCCCAGACUCCUACGGGAGGCAGCAGUGGGGAAUUUUGGACAAUGGGCGAAAGCCUGAUCCAGCAAUGCCGCGUGUGUGAUGAAGGCCUUCGGGUUGUAAAGCACUUUUGGCGGGAACGAAAAGGACUGUGCCAAUACCACGGUUCGAUGACGGUACCCGCAGAAUAAGCACCGGCUAACUACGUG
This 483-nucleotide ribosomal RNA is filed under the name uncultured bacterium. RNAcentral describes it as "partial 16S ribosomal RNA". It matches the Rfam family "Bacterial small subunit ribosomal RNA", at positions 29 to 507 of the family's 1533-position model. The record is from RNAcentral.